RNAcentral lists this long non-coding RNA (3561 nucleotides) under Physcomitrium patens. RNAcentral's name for it is "long non-coding RNA (PPAT_LNC008145)". The record is from RNAcentral. Lineage: Eukaryota; Viridiplantae; Streptophyta; Bryopsida; Funariales; Funariaceae.
AAGAUGUCAAAUGAUCUAUAAUAGAUUUAUAAUUUAUUUUUAUUUUUAUAAUAAAUCUUAAGAAUAAAAUCUACAUUUUCUAGAAAUUUGAUAAAAAUUGAAUAAUUGAAUCAAGAAAUAUGAAUUUCUAAAAUUUGGAAAAAAAAUCCUUUAGUAGAGAAAAAUAUUUUGAAAAGAUUUUGCUAUAAUUUGGACAUUUUAUGCAAAAUAAAGGACUUUUUGGUAACCAAGACUUCAUAUACAUAUUAAAAAUAAAGAUUUGCAGCUGUAGCAAAAUUAUAGUAUAAAGUUGGAUUUUUAUAAAGAAAUUAUGGCUUUUCUUUGAGCAUAUUGAAAUCAAGCUUAUCUACAAAUGAUUUAGUUAUAAUUGAAUAUAGCAAAGGAUAUUAGGGCAUUUCUAAAUGGCUUAGAAAGCCUCAUGAAUAAAGCUUUUUAAAUAUAAAAAUAAUUUUAUCAAUAGAAUAUCUUUUGAUACUAUUAUUUGGCCUCUAUAAUAAAAAUACAUCAUUUAUUGAAACUUGCCUAAUAAGUAAAAACUAAAUUCUCUAUAGCUAGGUAUCUAAUGUAUUUUCAAAUAAAAAAUCACGCCAUACGAUAGCAAGUGAAGUAAUAGUUAUGAUCUUGAGACUUCAAGAGGAGAAUGCAAUUGUCUAAAUGGAAGCUCUGGAAUUUCAGCAAAUAGUAAUGGAGAAGGCCAUGGAUUAUCAAGAUGCCAUUGACAUUUUAUUAGAAAUUUGUACAAAACUCGAAGAUGACAAAAUUGCAUUAACAAGAAGAAUUUAAAUUGUUCAAAGCGAAAUUAAACACUGCAUUGAUAGAAGAAAGGAAUUAUGCUAAAAAAAGUGGAAAGGAAUUAUGUCUCAAUGCUAUUAUUAGAAAAAUAUCUUACAGAUGUAAAAUUAACUUCUUCAAAAUCUGAACAAGCAAAUCUUCUUAGCAAGAAAUGAUGUUUUGUAACUCUUUCAUGCACUUGAUGCCCCAACAAGAUGAUGAAGCUCAAGCCUGAAGGUUGACUUAGGAUAUAUUAAGAUGAUGAAGCCCAAGCAUGAAGGUCAACUUAAGACACAUUAAGAAAAUGAAGCUCAAGUAUAAAGGUCAACUUAGGACACAUCAAGAUAGUAAAGUCCAAGCAUGAAGGUCAACUUUAAGUACAUUAAGAUGAUGAAGCCAAAGAGGACCAACUGUACUUACAUGGAAUCCCUAACCACCUCACUAUGCAUGAAGGGUGUCACCUAAAACGGAUGACAAGACUGGAACUAUCUAAUACUAAACAAUAAGCAAGAAAACAUUGAAGGCACAACAUUUGUGUUGCAUAUGUAAUAUUAAAAUACUAAUAGAAUCCAAGGAUUUUUAUUGGAUUAGAGAUAACUUAUCAUACUCCAAGAUGUUUUUGCUGUUAUCAAAACUUUGAGGGAUACAUUUGCUAUUAUCAAUGAUGUAGGAAUAUUCUUGAUAUUUCAACAUAUUUGAGAGGUACAUCUGAUGUUUUUUUCUUAAAUUUUUUUUUUGUAUAAUUGUGUCUAAGAAUCUUGCUUAUAAUUACUUCUAUUUAAUUUUUAUUUUUUUAUUUUUGAUUAUUUUUGUUAAUCUAAAUAAUAUAGAUAAUUAUGAUAUUAUAUAUCAUAGAUGUUGGUUUUAAUCAUUUCUAAUUUAGUUAUAAAAAAGAACUAUUGUUCUUUCAAUCUUAAAAUAGAAAAAUUAAAAAAAAAACAAAAAUCAAUUUCUAUGUAUAUAUAUAUAUAUACAUAUAUUAUCAAUUAAUAAUUAUUAUAUAAUAUUUAAUAUUUUUUAAAUUAAAUUUUAUAAUUUUUAAUAAAAUUAUUAGAAAUUUUAUUUCUUAAGUAUAUAUAUAUAUAUAUAUAUAUAUAUAUAUAUAUUCUUAAAAAUAUUUUUGUAGCCAUAUUAAUUUACUUUAUUUUAAUUUUUUUUCUUUACUAGUGAUAUUUUUUUAUAUAUUCUAAAUUUUCUUUUUAAUAUUCUUUUAUUACUUAUUAGCUUUUUAGUAAUCUUUUUUUUAAUAAGAAUGCUUUUACCAAAAUGUCUUUUUUUUUAGCUCUCAAAAAAAUUAUAUAUGGUUUUCUUGCAAUCACUACUUUUUAUAAGUUUUGUAUUUAUUUAAAAAAUUUAAUAUAAAAAACAUAUUUAAUCUACUAAAUAAAUAUUAAUUUUAAUAAUAAAUAUAGUAAAUAUAUUUUUUUAAUUAUUUAUAUAAAUUCAAAAAAUUCUUAGAUAUUUUAUGUUUUUAUAUUUUAUUUUAUACUAAAUUUAUGUAUAUGUAUAUCUUAUAUUUUAGAAAAAAAUUAAUUAAAUAAUUUAUGUAAAAUUUAAAAGCUUCUAUUAUUAAUUGUCUUGUGUACAUAAAAAAAUCAAAAGCAUAAUGAUUUUUUUGUUAAUAAUAAAGUAAAAACCAUUGUUAAGACAAUUACAUUAAAAAAUUAUGAUAUUUGUAAAAAAAAAAAAAUUUUAACUUCUGUAAAAAAAUCUAAAAGUUAAAACCUCAAAUUUCUAAACCUUAAUAUAUUAUCUUAAAUCAUUUUAUAGAAUUUGCAUGUUAUUUUUGUAAGGUGUCAUACAAUGCAAUUUUUUCAAGAACUAAAUUGCUCAGUUUUAUCUAAAUUUGUCUAAUUACUGUAAAUUUAUGAUGAAAAUAUAUUAUUAAAUGCAAUGUUAUAGUAAAAAAGAAAAUUUAGAAGAUUUAAUAUUAUCAUUGAUUCUAUAAUUUAAUAUUAUAGUUAAUUAUAUUAUAAUAUUAAAUAAAUUUAAAAAAUAUAUAAGAUUCAAUUUUGAUAGAAUUCAAAUAUUAAAUAAUAUUUAUAUAUUGUAUCAAAUCCAAUUAUUUAUUAAUUACUAUUCUUUUGAAAACCAAUUUUUACUACUCAAUAUUUAAAAUGUCAACAACAUUCUAGAUACUAUUUCUCUUAUGGCAAUAAUGCUUUAUAAAUAUAUUAUUGGAAAUCUCUGAUAUUCAAUAACAUAUUUGUAACUUCAGUUUUUCAAUUUAUUAAUUAGGUCAAUUUAUAUUACAUCACAAGCCAACUUAUUAAAAAAAAUUAUGUACAUUCUUUGUUAUUGUAAAAAAUAAAAAUUGUUUCAGACAUUUUUUUGGUUAAAAUCCUUUAAUUACCUUCGAUUUACAACUUUACGGUUUAAAAAAAUCUAAACUAGACAAGAAAUUUAAAUCCUUAUUAUGUUAUAUUUAAUAUGAAAUUACUUACAUAAGUUGUAAUAAAGAAGCAAGUAUUAGAUGCUUUGCUAAACAAUACUACAAAGUAUAUUGCCAUCAUUACAACAAAUAAUUAGAAAAAUAAUAUGAUUGCAAUCAGAUUCAAGAAAUGUUUCUAAUAAAGUAAUUCACUUUGUGACAUGUUUCAUUCUCAUGUAUUUUUAGAUAUUACAUCAAAACCAAAAUCAUUAAUACAAUACAUGAUUUCUACAAAGUCGAAUUCAGUUAAUUUAAUUCAAAGAUAUAUAUAAGAGACUCAAGUUGAAAUAUGAUUCUACUAAUGAUAUGAAUAGGAGUAAUUCUGACAAAGUUUUCACUGAAAAGUAAGCAUCGCAAAU